Molecule: ribosomal RNA, 489 nt
Filed under: Triticum aestivum (bread wheat)
Lineage: Eukaryota; Viridiplantae; Streptophyta; Magnoliopsida; Poales; Poaceae
Description: partial small subunit ribosomal RNA
Source: RNAcentral
AUGGGGCGAACCACAGUUAACCCUAUUUGGAGUAAGAUAUGGAAGUUAUCUUGCCCGGCAAAAGUGAAAAUUUUUAUAUGGCGUACGCUUCAUGGAACUCUCCCAUGUCGGGUUACACUUGCUAAUAGACAUAUGAAGGUUUCACCCACUUGCCCCACUUGCUCAGAGGGCUUAGAAGAUACAAAACAUAUGUUUUUCCGUUGUAGGAAAGCAAAGGAGGUUUGGAAAAGGCUAGGGAUAAUUGAUAUAAUCGAUAAAGCGUGCGAGGUAGACCAUGCUGGAGAGGCGGUGUUGGAGUACUUACUACUUCUCCCGGACCAAGAAUUGAGGAUGAUAGGUCACCACAAUGUGCGUGAGAUGAUUGCUGUCUCAACAUGGUAUUUAUGGUGGGAAAGACGAAAGUUAGUGCAUAAGGAGACAACCCAAAAUGCCUUGCAGAUUUUAAUGGGUGGUUUAGCACUUACCACAAACUUUGUUAAUGCUUCAUAG